This 25-nucleotide non-coding RNA is filed under the name Cricetulus griseus (Chinese hamster). Lineage: Eukaryota; Metazoa; Chordata; Mammalia; Rodentia; Cricetidae. The record is from RNAcentral.
AGGGAUACAUGCAGGCAGAACACUA